AAUAGAUACCCAGGUAGUCCACGCCGUAAACGAUGAGUGCUAAGUGUUAGAGGGUUUCCGCCCUUUAGUGCUGCAGCUAACGCAUUAAGCACUCCGCCUGGGGAGUACGGUCGCAAGACUGAAACUCAAAGGAAUUGACGGGGGCCCGCACAAGCGGUGGAGCAUGUGGUUUAAUUCGAAGCAACGCGAAGAACCUUACCAGGUCUUGACAUCCUCUGACAACUCUAGAGAUAGAGCGUUCCCCUUCGGGGGACAGAGUGACAGGUGGUGCAUGGUUGUCGUCAGCUCGUGUCGUGAGAUGUUGGGUUAAGUCCCGCAACGAGCGCAACCCUUGAUCUUAGUUGCCAGCAUUAAGUUGGGCACUCUAAGGUGACUGCCGGUGACAAACCGGAGGAAGGUGGGGAUGACGUCAAAUCAUCAUGCCCCUUAUGACCUGGGCUACACACGUGCUACAAUGGAUGGUACAAGGGCGUGCAAGACCGCGAGGUCAAGCCAACUACCACUAAACCAACUUCUCAGUUACGGUACGUGU
Molecule: ribosomal RNA, 532 nt
Filed under: uncultured bacterium
Lineage: Bacteria
Description: bacterial SSU rRNA
Rfam family: Bacterial small subunit ribosomal RNA
Source: RNAcentral